Molecule: ribosomal RNA, 431 nt
Filed under: uncultured Alphaproteobacteria bacterium
Lineage: Bacteria; Pseudomonadati; Pseudomonadota; Alphaproteobacteria
Description: bacterial SSU rRNA
Rfam family: Bacterial small subunit ribosomal RNA
Source: RNAcentral
AACGAACGCUGGCGGCAGGCUUAACACAUGCAAGUCGAGCGCCCCGCAAGGGAGCGGCAGACGGGUGAGUAACGCGUGGGAAUCUACCCAUCUCUACGGAACAACUCCGGGAAACUGGAGCUAAUACCGUAUACGUCCUUUUGGAGAAAGAUUUAUCGGAGAUGGAUGAGCCCGCGUUGGAUUAGCUAGUUGGUGGGGUAAUGGCCUACCAAGGCGACGAUCCAUAGCUGGUCUGAGAGGAUGAUCAGCCACACUGGGACUGAGACACGGCCCAGACUCCUACGGGAGGCAGCAGUGGGGAAUAUUGGACAAUGGGCGCAAGCCUGAUCCAGCCAUGCCGCGUGAGUGAUGAAGGCCCUAGGGUUGUAAAGCUCUUUCAACGGUGAAGAUAAUGACGGUAACCGUAGAAGAAGCCCCGGCUAACUUCGUGC